UAAUACGGAGGAUGCGAGCGUUAUCCGGAUUUAUUGGGUUUAAAGGGUGCGCAGGCGGCGAGUUAAGUCAGCGGUAAAAUUUCGGGGCUCAACCCCGACGAGCCGUUGAAACUGGCUUGCUAGAGUGGGCGAGAAGUAUGCGGAAUGCGUGGUGUAGCGGUGAAAUGCAUAGAUAUCACGCAGAACUCCGAUUGCGAAGGCAGCAUACCGGCGCCCAACUGACGCUCAGGCACGAAAGCGUGGGUAUCGAACAGGAUUAGAUACCCUGGUAGUCCACGCAGUAAACGAUGAGCACUAAUUGUCCGGUCCGAGUGAGGGCUGGGUGAUACAGCGAAAGCGUUAAGUGCUCCACCUGGGGAGUACGCCGGCAACGGUG
RNAcentral lists this ribosomal RNA (376 nucleotides) under uncultured bacterium. Its description in RNAcentral is "bacterial SSU rRNA". It matches the Rfam family "Bacterial small subunit ribosomal RNA", at positions 521 to 896 of the family's 1533-position model. The record is from RNAcentral.